UCUGGCCUCUGAUGCAGGCGAUGCACACACCGAAUGCAGUUGCCACAACUGUGGCUUCAAAGCAGAUAGCCACUUGGCAGCCAGAGCCAGAUUGCUGAGAACAAGGAAGCCACGCCCUCGACAGGCCCCGCAGCUGCAGAGUGCAGCUGUUUCAGCACAUCCACACUUCAUCUUUGUUUGCAGGACUGUAAGCCUCUGGUAAUCAUCCUUGUCAUGGACGAGCCACAAUGGAGAUCAAAGGUAUGAGGCAGCUCUUGAGGUUUGCUUCAACACCCCUGGUUUAAACUUAUAGCCCCGGUCCACUCGACACAGAGCGAGGCACCGAAAGAUCUCAACACUGAUGAAGGCACAGAAACGACUUGUGUUGUGAGUGUUUCUAUUCUCAGGAUGCCCUCCACUCCCAGGAGUGGUCCUCCAAGAGGGAAGAUCCCUACUCUGCCCAUCCAUUCUCCUCUACUCUCAGCGGCAGCUCCACGCUCUCUCCUUUCCGGUGUUUCUGGCACAUCCUUCCCAAACCACAGCACCAAAGUCCAAGCCAAUACAGAAAACCUGGGCUUCGAGAAUGAACUGCCUUCCCCUCCAGGACCUUGUUUACUUUGAUUCUUCAUCUGUGCGUAUGCUCUGUUUUGAAAGGAGCACAAUUAGAAUCCUGCCUUUUCCCAACAGGGUAUUAUUUUUGCUGACCCAACACUGGCUCAUUCCAGGAUUAAUCUCCCCAGUGCCCUAGGAGGGCAAAUAGGUGGCAAACAUGAGGGAAGCGCUUCUGUGAACACACUCUUUACUGGAACCUAUCCCAUCGCCAAACUCCUCUGCCAGGUUCCAUUAGGAAAUUGCAAGCAGAUGCAUCUAUCCAAGAGCUCUCUUCUCUCCUCCCCAUAAUAUAUCGACAUCAGAUUGCAGGGAGGGGGCAGAGCAGCCUGCCUUGCGUGGUUCCUGUGCACAGCAGACAUGCAGGCCAAUGCGAACCCCAAGCACACAGCUCAUGUGCACAUGAGGACACGUCACCAGCGUGAUUCUAUGCAGCUACCAGACAGGGGAGGACAAAGUGACAAUCGAUAACGUUGUACUUCAGAAUGUCAAGUGAAGGCCAUGACAAGAAGGGCAGGCUGCCCCGGGAAUAUGAAAAGAACAGAAAUACCUAAGGAUUGAUUAGGGGCUGGGCCAAAUUCCAGGCUUGAACGCAUCACAGAUUCUGCUAAGAGCUCCCAAGGGAGGGCUCCAAUGGGCAAUUUUUUUUGGGGCCCUGCAUUCCAUUCUUCUGAUACAGACAUCAGGCCUGCCUGGGAGAUGACUGGAGAAUUAAAAGCCCAAGCAAAAAGUGAAUUCAGGAAAGCCUGCUUCCCCAUCAGAAUGCUUUCGGUUUUCCUGAGACACCUCCCACCAUCUUUGAAAAGAGUGGAUUUUAUUAUUCCACUUUGCCAUUCUGGCUCCCAACGAGGGCCAACACCAGCAUGCAGGAGGAUAAAGAAAAUCUCAGAUGACAAUGGCAGUCGAAAGGCAGGAAGACUGCAGCGUGGCAGAGACUUCCAGAUGGAAGUGUACAGGGAAAGCCGGAAGGGAGGUAUGGUCAGUCUUUAAGGGGAUGCCCUUUAAACUGUUUUCCUCUUCUUUCAGGAACAUUUUGGUCUUGUCUUUUUUUGUGUGGACAGAAACAUACGCUUAAUCACUAGCAUAUUGUAUGAAAGAAAAAUAUAUAGACCUUCAAGACCUCAAAAUAUAUAGCCCCGGUUCCAAUCUUCAUUACCAGAAAUAACUAGAGGAAAUGAGAAGCAGGUGGGGAAAGGCUUUCCUGAACGAUGCCAGGGCUUCGUUUUAAUUCAGCUUGUGGACGGCCUGCUCCCACCGCCCCAUCUCGCUGACCAUAUAUUCAGAGGUCAAGCUACUAAAAUCAAGCAAAUACACUCAAUUUCCUUUAGCCCUAACCUCUGCAGUAGGAAGCACAUUUCUCUUGAAAUGACAUGAGCUUUGGACUUCUGAAUUCAUUGAAGACCAUGUUGAAAUUACCUGGACGGGCAGCGAAAAUCCGAAAGAAGUUCUUUAUGUCCUCAAUGGCUAAAGGAAAUCUUCCUAUGGACGGUGAUUACGGUCUGUGGGUGUCACGGAUGUUUCACUUGGUGUUAGUAUCUGACACCAUCUUUUGUUAGCGGCUGGUAACUAACUGGAGGAAGGAGGCAGGGGAGAGACCCGAGGACACACCGCUGCUCCUUUUCAUAAACAGCCCACAUUGCUUCUUUUACGUUCUUUAGGCAGUUGUUUCAAUCCCUGGAAAUUUCAGAACCGCCCAAGAAUUUAAAAGUGAUCAUUAGCAUACGCUUUGAAUAUAUACCAGAGACUACUGUCCACAAGGAAGAGUAAGAUCUGUUCAUGAUACAGCAUUCCACGGUGAGUUGACAGGCUGGCUCCGAGAGCAUUGCUCACGAUUUCAGUAGACAAAGAGGGGGUGGGGUGUCAGGAAAUGCAGUGAAGCCCUGCUUCUGCCCCUUCCUGGUUGCUAACCUUUGACAAGUCAUUUAACCUCUGAAUCACUCAAUUUCCCUAUCUGUGAAAGGAAGCAUUGAAGCCUAUCGUUCCCAAAGUCACCUUCUGCUAUAAAGUUUUAUGAUGACUAAGUCUCUGGAUCUAUUGGAAAGGCCGUGGGGUGGAUUUGUAGCACUUAGACCCCCAGGGAGCUAGAAAGACUUUAAAGUGAUACACGAUUGUAACAGAAACCUAAGAUGGGGUAACCUUGUUCCUAAUGAAGGAACCUGCUUGAAACUCAACUCUGAGCAAGGAGAGCUUGAGCUAUGGUGGACACCCACAAAAACUGCUCCCCCAGAGAAAAGUCAGAACUACCACUUUAGGGCUUCAACUCACUUCCUCACGUCAAUUUAUGCUCUGGAUGCUCCAAGAAUACUGCCUUUCUCUUACUGAGCCUCUAAUGUAACCAGAAGACAGAAACAAAUGCCCCCACAUGACUGUGUGCCCACUAACCUCCCCUCCCCAUCCGCCCCCACAAACCACAAUGUCAGUGGCUCCCAUACUGAUGCACAGACCCUGUGGAUAGAAGGAUGUGGUCCCUACUGAAGGGGUGGGUUAUUGCACUUCCUGGUCAGGAAAGCUCAAGGCCUGAUGUUCUUUAGUGUCUGGAGUCAGAGAUAAAGAACCAAAGUGCAGGUGUGACACCCUCCUAGGGUUCACAACUCCAUUCAUUGCUGCCUGAUCUCUGACAUUCUUUCUUUUGACUCUGCUGAUACAAAUGUCUCUCGGCCGAUUGUGCUCAGCCUGGUUUGUGUAAUGGUGUCUACGUGCAGGAGCAGCGUGAGCGUCCGUAUUCACUCUGCUGUCCGGGGAGUGUGGGGCACAUGGCUGUCCUCAGCCUUUCUCAAAACAUAAGAUGCAUGAGCAAAUUAGCCGAAAUAACUCUAAGUUUCUCCCAUCAUUUCCCCCUCUCCUGAGCAUGCCAUUGUAUUGACAAGCACUCUACCUUGAUGACGCAAAAAUACACUUGCUGGGUGAAUUCUCUGUUUGAGGUUAUUGUAUUUCACUCUCUAAUGGUUAUUCCUCAUCAUCUGAAAUGUAUUCAAGCUUUUUGAAAACCCUACCUUUUUUAUGGAUUGGAUAACAAGACAGACUUUUGGGGGAUUGCUUAUUUUCUCUUCAUUAUUUCUAGCUGAUAGGUACUGUUAGAAGUCCAAUCCUCAUCCCCUCUGCUAUAUUCAGACUAUGAAGUCCCAACCCUGAUACCAAACAAUGUGGCUGUCUUUAGAAACAGCCAUGCUGGAGAGGUGUUGAGCUAAGAUAGAAGGAUCAUGCCGGAGCAGGGGGAGCCCCUCACCCCAUGUGGUCAGUGUUCUUGCUAGAAGAGGAAAUUCUGAGAGACGCACACACAAGGAAAGCAAACACCGUGUGCCAAAGCAGGUAAGAAUCAUGUUUCUACAAGUCAAGGAGCACAGAACGCAGGUUGCGAUGCAUCAGAGCUAGAGAGCGCCCCCACAGGAUGUGACGUCACGGGGAAGCGCCCCCGUUGGUCUCCGACUUCUCAGCUCCGGAACUUUGAAAUCCAGAAAUCUCUGUUAAACCAUCCUGUUGGUGGCACAUAUGACAGCCUUCAGCAACUCGUCCAACAACCACAUUUGGAUACCUUCCUCUCGGCUCUUCUUCAAACGACCAAGAACGGGGCUGGGGCGAGGGCUUAGGGAGCGAACAUCCUGCUGUACUAAGCUGAUGAACUGAGUUUGGUUCUCAGAACCCACAUGAUGAAAGAGAUCUGACUCUCAAAACUUGUUCUCUGAUCUCCAUGUGUGUUCGACACAUGCCCACGUACACACAAAAUUAAAUAAAUAGAUGUGAAAAAUUAAAUGAUCAA
This is a non-coding RNA of Myodes glareolus (Bank vole), 4345 nucleotides long. The record is from RefSeq and is a predicted model, not a curated record. Lineage: Eukaryota; Metazoa; Chordata; Mammalia; Rodentia; Cricetidae.